This 410-nucleotide unclassified non-coding RNA is filed under the name Hevea brasiliensis (rubber tree). The record is from RNAcentral. Lineage: Eukaryota; Viridiplantae; Streptophyta; Magnoliopsida; Malpighiales; Euphorbiaceae.
ACUGAAGACUUUUCUCCCAAGGUACACCCAAUGCCUUAUUUCAUUCUUAUGAAGAAGUGAGAAAAUUAUUAUAUUUUCUACACUAUAAUUACACUUGUACAUUAUAAUUCAAUAAUUUUAGAAAAAUAAUCAUAUCAAUUUUAUAUUAUUCUUCUCACAUUACCCUGGAGUAGUGGUUUUCUUAGGGGCAAGAACCUACAUAUUUUUUGUUCCUGUGUUUCAGGUUAUGAAAUCUUUGUGUAACAGAAACUGUUUUUUCUUCCACAAUAAAAUAUUAAUUAAUUAGUAAAUGUCAACCAUUUAUUUCAUAGUCAAAAUUUAGACUUUUGACUCAAACUCCAUAAAAAAAUUGUGGCCUUGAUAGAAAUGCUUUUACUGUCUGUUACAGGUAGUUGAUUUUGAAAGUUGGA